AUCUCCCUGCACUGUUGGUGAUCUUCAGUGUGUGUUGAGCCAACUCCCAUAAAAAGGGCAGCUCCGCUGAUCAGCGAAGGAAAAUCGUUUGACGAAUUUCCUGAAGUGGUUAUGAGGUGCCCACCUAUUUCUAUAGGUUUAACUUUCCUGGUGACACGGCAGUGUGGGGAAGAU
RNAcentral lists this non-coding RNA (174 nucleotides) under Desulfobacterales bacterium GWB2_56_26. RNAcentral's name for it is "6S RNA". It matches the Rfam family "6S / SsrS RNA". From Rfam's summary of the family: E. coli 6S RNA was the first non coding RNA to be sequenced, but its function was unknown until recently. It consists of 184 nucleotides that fold into an extended hairpin structure with a large single-stranded internal bulge. Lineage: Bacteria; Pseudomonadati; Thermodesulfobacteriota; Desulfobacteria; Desulfobacterales. The record is from RNAcentral. RNAcentral also lists the same sequence under 1 other name.